GGCCCUACGGGACGCAGCAGUGGGGGAUAUUGCACAAUGGGGAAACCCUGAUGCAGCGACGCCGCGUGAGCGAUGAAGUAUUUCGGUAUGUAAAGCUCUAUCAGCGGGGAAGAAGGAAGACGGUACCCGACUAAGAAGCCCCGGCUAACUACGUGCCAGCAGCCGCGGUAAUACGUAGGGGGCGAGCGUUAUCCGGAUUUACUGGGUGUAAAGGGAGCGUAGACGGCGUCGCAAGUCUGAAGUGAAAGCCCGUGGCUCAACCGCGGAACCGCUUUGGAAACUGUGAGGCUGGAGUGCUGGAGAGG
Molecule: ribosomal RNA, 305 nt
Filed under: uncultured bacterium
Lineage: Bacteria
Description: bacterial SSU rRNA
Rfam family: Bacterial small subunit ribosomal RNA
Source: RNAcentral